GGCCCUUAUGGGUAGGGCUUCACACGUCAUACAAUGGUCGGUACAGAGGGUUGCCAAGCCGCGAGGCGGAGCCAAUCCCACAAAGCCGAUCGUAGUCCGGAUUGUUCUCUGCAACUCGAGAGCAUGAAGUCGGAAUCGCUAGUAAUCGCAGGUCAGCAUACUGCGGUGAAUACCGGUUCCCGGGUCUU
RNAcentral lists this ribosomal RNA (188 nucleotides) under uncultured Thiobacillus sp. Its description in RNAcentral is "partial 16S ribosomal RNA". It matches the Rfam family "Bacterial small subunit ribosomal RNA", at positions 1197 to 1382 of the family's 1533-position model. Lineage: Bacteria; Pseudomonadati; Pseudomonadota; Betaproteobacteria; Nitrosomonadales; Thiobacillaceae. The record is from RNAcentral.